Non-coding RNA from Acanthosepion pharaonis, 95 nucleotides. Lineage: Eukaryota; Metazoa; Mollusca; Cephalopoda; Sepiida; Sepiidae. The record is from the annotation of a GenBank genome assembly.
CAUUGAUACACCGGUUCCCUUUCGAUUACCGAAGUUAAGCAACGCCGAGCCUGGUCAGUACCUAGAUGAGUGACCACUUGGGAAUACCAGGUGCU